AUGCAAGUCGAGCGGACUUGAUGGAGUGCUUGCACUCCUGAAGGUUAGCGGCGGACGGGUGAGUAACACGUAGGCAACCUGCCCUCAAGACUGGGAUAACUACCGGAAACGGUAGCUAAUACCGGAUAGUUUAUUUUGCAGCAUUGUGGAAUAAUGAAAGGCGGAGCAAUCUGUCACUUGAGGAUGGGCCUGCGGCGCAUUAGCUAGUUGGUGGGGUAACGGCCCACCAAGGCGACGAUGCGUAGCCGACCUGAGAGGGUGAACGGCCACACUGGGACUGAGACACGGCCCAGACUCCUACGGGAGGCAGCAGUAGGGAAUCUUCCGCAAUGGGCGAAAGCCUGACGGAGCAACGCCGCGUGAGUGAUGAAGGUUUUCGGAUCGUAAAGCUCUGUUGCCAAGGAAGAACGUCUUCUAGAGUAACUGCUAGGAGAGUGACGGUACUUGAGAAGAAAGCCCCGGCUAGCUACGUGCCAGCAGCCGCGGUAAUACGUAGGGGGCAAGCGUUGUCCGGAAUUAUUGGGCGUAAAGCGCGCGCAGGCGGUUCUUUAAGUCUGGUGUUUAAACCCGAGGCUCAACUUCGGGUCGCACUGGAAACUGGGGAACUUGAGUG
This 613-nucleotide ribosomal RNA is filed under the name uncultured Paenibacillus sp. RNAcentral's name for it is "bacterial SSU rRNA". It matches the Rfam family "Bacterial small subunit ribosomal RNA", at positions 55 to 648 of the family's 1533-position model. The record is from RNAcentral. Lineage: Bacteria; Bacillati; Bacillota; Bacilli; Caryophanales; Paenibacillaceae.